ACUCGGUCAUUUAGAGGAAGUAAAAGUCGUAACAAGGUCUCCGUUGGUGAACCAGCGGAGGGAUCAUUACCGAGUUUACAACUCCCAAACCCAAUGUGAACGUUACCAAACUGUUGCCUCGGCGGGAUCUCUGCCCCGGGUGCGUCGCAGCCCCGGACCAAGGCGCCCGCCGGAGGACCAACCAAAACUCUUAUUGUAUACCCCCUCGCGGGUUUUUUUAUAAUCUGAGCCUUCUCGGCGCCUCUCGUAGGCGUUUCGAAAAUGAAUCAAAACUUUCAACAACGGAUCUCUUGGUUCUGGCAUCGAUGAAGAACGCAGCGAAAUGCGAUAAGUAAUGUGAAUUGCAGAAUUCAGUGAAUCAUCGAAUCUUUGAACGCACAUUGCGCCCGCCAGUAUUCUGGCGGGCAUGCCUGUCCGAGCGUCAUUUCAACCCUCGAACCCCUCCGGGGGGUCGGCGUUGGGGAUCGGCCCUGCCUUGGCGGUGGCCGUCUCCGAAAUACAGUGGCGGUCUCGCCGCAGCCUCUCCUGCGCAGUAGUUUGCACACUCGCAUCGGGAGCGCGGCGCGUCCACAGCCGUUAAACACCCAACUUCUGAAAUGUUGACCUCGGAUCAGGUAGGAAUACCCGCUGAACUUAAGCAUAUCAAUAAGCGGAGGAAAAGAAACCAACAGGGAUUGCCCCAGUAACGGCGAGUGAAGCGGCAACAGCUCAAAUUUGAAAUCUGGUCCCUAGGGCCCGAGUUGUAAUUUGUAGAGGAUGCUUUUGGUGAGG
RNAcentral lists this ribosomal RNA (771 nucleotides) under Trichoderma sp. 17 BRO-2013. Its description in RNAcentral is "eukaryotic LSU rRNA". The stretch from base 271 to 424 matches the Rfam family "5.8S ribosomal RNA". Lineage: Eukaryota; Fungi; Ascomycota; Sordariomycetes; Hypocreales; Hypocreaceae. RNAcentral also lists the same sequence under 6 other names. The record is from RNAcentral.